This 68-nucleotide microRNA precursor is filed under the name Bombyx mori (domestic silkworm). Its description in RNAcentral is "mir-2774 microRNA precursor family". It matches the Rfam family "mir-2774 microRNA precursor family". The record is from Rfam by way of RNAcentral. Lineage: Eukaryota; Metazoa; Arthropoda; Insecta; Lepidoptera; Bombycidae.
AAAACAUUCCGAUCGUUGGUCUGCUGAGCAAAUAUCACCCGCUCGGUGGAAGAUCUUCCCUUUGUCGU